ACCCUUAGAUGUUCUGGGCCGCACGCGCGCUACACUGACUGGUGCAACAAGUGUCGCUCCUUGGCCGAUAGGCCUGGGCAAUCUUUGAACGCCAGUCGUGAUGGGGAUAGAUUCUUGCAAUUUUUGAUCUUCAACGAGGAAUUCCUAGUAAACGCGAGUCAUCAACUCGCAUUGAUUACGUCCCUGCCCUUUGUACACACCGCCCGUCGCACCUACCGAUUGAAUGGUCCGGUGAACCCUCCGGAUCGGCUCGCGCCAACGCAAGUUGAGCAAAGGCCGAGAAGUUGGGUAAACCUUACCAUUUAGAGGAAGGUGAAGUCGUAACA
Molecule: ribosomal RNA, 326 nt
Filed under: uncultured eukaryote
Lineage: Eukaryota
Description: partial 18S ribosomal RNA
Rfam family: Eukaryotic small subunit ribosomal RNA
Source: RNAcentral